RNAcentral lists this ribosomal RNA (253 nucleotides) under uncultured bacterium. RNAcentral's name for it is "partial 16S ribosomal RNA". It matches the Rfam family "Bacterial small subunit ribosomal RNA", at positions 524 to 776 of the family's 1533-position model. The record is from RNAcentral.
UACGAAGGGGGCUAGCGUUGCUCGGAAUCACUGGGCGUAAAGUGCACGUAGGUGGAUCGCUAAGUCAGGGGUGAAAUCCUGGAGCUCAACUCCAGAACUGCCUUUGAUACUGGCAAUCUCGAGUCCGGGAGAGGUGAGUGGAACUGCGAGUGUAGAGGUGAAAUUCGUAGAUAUUCGCAAGAACACCAGUGGCGAAGGCGGCUCACUGGCCCGGUACUGACGCUGAGGUGCGAAAGCGUGGGGAGCAAACAGG